RNAcentral lists this ribosomal RNA (469 nucleotides) under uncultured bacterium. RNAcentral describes it as "partial 16S ribosomal RNA". It matches the Rfam family "Bacterial small subunit ribosomal RNA", at positions 28 to 507 of the family's 1533-position model. The record is from RNAcentral.
GACGAACGCUGGCGGCGUGCUUAACACAUGCAAGUCGAACGGAAAGGCCCUGCUUGCCGGGUGCUCGAGUGGCGAACGGGUGAGUAACACGUGGGUGAUCUGCCCCUUACUUUGGGAUAAGCCUGGGAAACUGGGUCUAAUACUGGAUAGGACCAUGCUGUAGGCGGUGUGGUGGAAAGAUUAGUUUCGGUAAGGGAUGAGCUCGCGGCCUAUCAGCUUGUUGGUGGGGUAAUGGCCUACCAAGGCGUCGCCGGGUAGCCGGCCUGAGAGGGUGGACGGCCACAUUGGGACUGAGAUACGGCCCAGACUCCUACGGGAGGCAGCAGUGGGGAAUAUUGCACAAUGGGCGCAAGCCUGAUGCAGCGACGCCGCGUGGGGGAUGACGGCCUUCGGGUUGUAAACUCCUUUCAGCCAUGACGAAGCCCUUGUGGUGACGGUAGUGGUAGAAGAAGCACCGGCUAACUACGUG